RNAcentral lists this ribosomal RNA (421 nucleotides) under Theileria sinensis. RNAcentral's name for it is "SSU rRNA". It matches the Rfam family "Eukaryotic small subunit ribosomal RNA", at positions 440 to 901 of the family's 1831-position model. The record is from RNAcentral. Lineage: Eukaryota; Apicomplexa; Aconoidasida; Piroplasmida; Theileriidae.
AUUACCCAAUACGGACACGGUGAGGUAGUGACAAGAAAUAACAAUACGGGGCUUAAUGUCCUGUAAUUGGAAUGAUGGGAAUUUAAACCUCUUCCAGAGUAUCAAUUGGAGGGCAAGUCUGGUGCCAGCAGCCGCGGUAAUUCCAGCUCCAAUAGCGUAUAUUAAAAUUGUUGCAGUUAAAAAGCUCGUAGUUGAAUUUCUGCUGCAUCGUCGCAUCUCUUGCUGAGUGCUUCGUUUCGGCUUAUUUCGGAUUGAUUUUUUCUUUCCGGAUGAUUACUUUGAGAAAAUUAGAGUGCUCAAAGCAGGCUUUUGCCUUGAAUAGUUUAGCAUGGAAUAAUAAAGUAGGACUUUGGUUCUAUUUUGUUGGUUUUAGGUACCAAAGUAAUGGUUAAUAGGAACAGUUGGGGGCAUUCGUAUUUAA